RNAcentral lists this ribosomal RNA (578 nucleotides) under uncultured bacterium. Its description in RNAcentral is "partial 16S ribosomal RNA". It matches the Rfam family "Bacterial small subunit ribosomal RNA", at positions 355 to 926 of the family's 1533-position model. The record is from RNAcentral.
UGGGGAAUUUUGGACAAUGGGCGAAAGCCUGAUCCAGCAAUGCCGCGUGUGUGAAGAAGGCCUUCGGGUUGUAAAGCACUUUUGUCCGGAAAGAAAUCCUUGGCUCUAAUACAGUCGGGGGAUGACGGUACCGGAAGAAUAAGCACCGGCUAACUACGUGCCAGCAGCCGCGGUAAUACGUAGGGUGCAAGCGUUAAUCGGAAUUACUGGGCGUAAAGCGUGCGCAGGCGGUUUGCUAAGACCGAUGUGAAAUCCCCGGGCUCAACCUGGGAACUGCAUUGGUGACUGGCAGGCUAGAGUAUGGCAGAGGGGGGUAGAAUUCCACGUGUAGCAGUGAAAUGCGUAGAGAUGUGGAGGAAUACCGAUGGCGAAGGCAGCCCCCUGGGCCAAUACUGACGCUCAUGCACGAAAGCGUGGGGAGCAAACAGGAUUAGAUACCCUGGUAGUCCACGCCCUAAACGAUGUCAACUAGUUGUUGGGGAUUCAUUUCCUUAGUAACGUAGCUAACGCGUGAAGUUGACCGCCUGGGGAGUACGGUCGCAAGAUUAAAACUUAAAUGAAUUGACGGGGUCAUGCUG